RNAcentral lists this ribosomal RNA (497 nucleotides) under uncultured bacterium. Its description in RNAcentral is "partial 16S ribosomal RNA". It matches the Rfam family "Bacterial small subunit ribosomal RNA", at positions 28 to 507 of the family's 1533-position model. The record is from RNAcentral.
GAUGAACGCUGGCGGCGUGCCUAAUACAUGCCAGUCGAGCGAACGGACGCGAAUCUUGCUUCUCUGAUGUUAGCGGCGGACGGGUGAGUCACACGUGGAUAACCUACUUAUAAGACUGGGAUAACUUCGGGAAACCGGAGCUAAUACCGUAUAAUAUUUUGCACCGCAUGGUUCAAAAGUAAAAGACGGUCUUGCUGUCACUUAUAGAUGGAUCCGCGCUGCAUUAGCUAGUUGGUAAGGUAACGGCUUACCACGGCAACGAUGCAUAGCCGACCUGAGAGGGUGAUCGGCCACACGGGAACGGAGACACGGUCAAGGCUACUAAGGGAGGCAGCAGAAGGGAAUCUGACGCAAUGGGCGAAAGCAUGACGGAGCAACGGCGCGUGAGUGAUGAAGGUCUUCGGAUCGUAAAACUCUGUUAUUAGGGAAGAACAUAUGUGUAAGUAACUGUGCACAUAUUGACGGUACCUAAUCAGAAAGCAACGGCUAACUACGUG